AUAUCAAUAAGCGGAGGAAAAGAAACUAACAAGGAUUCCCCUAGUAACUGCGAGUGAAGCGGGAAAAGCUCAAAUUUAAAAUCUGGUGGUCUUUGGCCAUCCGAGUUGUAAUCUAGAGAAGUGCUAUCCGCGUUGGACCGUGUACAAGUCUCCUGGAAUGGAGCGUCAUAGAGGGUGAGAAUCCCGUCUUUGACACGGACUACCAGUGCUUUGUGAUACGCUCUCAAAGAGUCGAGUUGUUUGGGAAUGCAGCUCAAAAUGGGUGGUAAAUUCCAUCUAAAGCUAAAUAUUGGCGAGAGACCGAUAGCGAACAAGUACCGUGAGGGAAAGAUGAAAAGAACUUUGGAAAGAGAGUUAAACAGUACGUGAAAUUGCUGAAAGGGAAACGCUUGAAGUCAGUCGCGUCGUCUGGGAAUCAACCUUACUUUUGUGGGGUGUACUUUCCUGAUGACGGGUCAGCAUCAAUUUUGACCGUUGGAUAAAGUGUAAGGGAAUGUGGCAUCUUCGGGUGUGUUAUAGCCYUUGCUCGCAUACAACGGUUGGGAUUGAGGAACUCAGUACGCCGCAAGGCCGGGAUUCGUCCACGUUCGUACUUAGGAUGCUGGCAUAAUGGCUUUAAUCGACCCGUCUUGAAACACGGACCAAGGAGUCUAACAUGCCUGCGAGUGUUUGGGUGGAAAACCCGAGCGCGUAAUGAAAGUGAAAGUUGAGAUCCCUGUCGUGGGGAGCAUCGACGCCCGGACCAGACCUUUUGUGACGGAUCUGCGGUAGAGCAUGUAUGUUGGGACCCGAAAGAUGGUGAACUAUGCCUGAAUAGGGUGAAGCCAGAGGAAACUCUGGUGGAGGCUCGUAGCGAUUCUGACGUGCAAAUCGAUCGUCAAAUUUGGGUAUAGGGGCGAAAGACUAAUCGAACCAUCUGGUAGCUGGUCCUG
This 932-nucleotide ribosomal RNA is filed under the name Deconica sp. RNAcentral's name for it is "partial large subunit ribosomal RNA". Lineage: Eukaryota; Fungi; Basidiomycota; Agaricomycetes; Agaricales; Kuehneromycetaceae. The record is from RNAcentral.